This 353-nucleotide transfer-messenger RNA is filed under the name Pseudomarimonas arenosa. RNAcentral describes it as "Standard tmRNA". It matches the Rfam family "transfer-messenger RNA". Rfam says of the family: Bacterial tmRNA, also known as 10Sa RNA or SsrA, is named for its dual tRNA and mRNA-like properties. Lineage: Bacteria; Pseudomonadati; Pseudomonadota; Gammaproteobacteria; Lysobacterales; Lysobacteraceae. The record is from RNAcentral.
GGGGGUGUCCUGGCUUCGACGGGGGUUGCAAAGUCGACUGGCGCAUGCCGAGGGGGUAGCUUUCCUCGUAAAUCCAGCUGCAAACAAUCAGACGCCAACGACGACGUCUACGCUCUGGCCGCUUAAGGCCUAGCCCCGAACCCACUUGUGCCUGUGCUCGUGGAUGUAGGGUCAUUAUCACGGGAUAGUAGCCGGCGGCGACCCGCCAACCGGUAGCGAAUCAAAGCGGGUAUGUCUGACGGUGUGCUUCGCACGUUGUGUUGCCGUCAGCCGAGACCAAACAACGAGCUAAGCAUGUAGUGCCGGAGAUGGCGUGCCUUCGGACGGGGGUUCAACUCCCCCCACCUCCACCA